Molecule: ribosomal RNA, 253 nt
Filed under: uncultured bacterium
Lineage: Bacteria
Description: partial 16S ribosomal RNA
Rfam family: Bacterial small subunit ribosomal RNA
Source: RNAcentral
UACAGAGGGGGCAAGCGUUGUUCGGAAUUACUGGGCGUAAAGGGCGCGUAGGCGGCCUUCUAAGUCGAACGUGAAAUCCCCGGGCUCAACCCGGGAACUGCGUCCGAUACUGGAAGGCUUGAAUCCGGGAGAGGGAUGCGGAAUUCCAGGUGUAGCGGUGAAAUGCGUAGAUAUCUGGAGGAACACCGGUGGCGAAGGCGGCAGCCUGGACCGGCAUUGACGCUGAGGCGCGAAAGCCAGGGGAGCAAACGGG